GGUAACGGAAGUCGUUGCCGUUGGCCUCCACCUUGGCUUCCUCCUCCAGGAAGCGCUCGGGGUGGAACUCCUCGGGGUUCCUCCAGUGGGCGGGGUUGUUGGCGAGCCACCAGGCGUUGACGAGGAUCUUGCUCUCGGCGGGGAUGUCGUAGCCGCCGAGCUUGGCGUCGUGGAGGUUCAUGUGGGGGACGAGGAGAGGGAUGGCCAUGCGCAACCGGAGGGUCUCCUUGAUGACGGCCUGAAGGUAGGGCAGCUUCUGGAUGUCGGGUUCCGUGAUGGGGACGCCUCGGCCCAGCACAGAGUCGAGCUCGUGGCGGAGCUUCCGCUGGAUCUCCGGGUGGUUCACCAGCUCCGCCACCCCCCACUCGAUCGACC
RNAcentral lists this long non-coding RNA (375 nucleotides) under Musa acuminata (dwarf banana). RNAcentral describes it as "long non-coding RNA (MACU_LNC006014)". Lineage: Eukaryota; Viridiplantae; Streptophyta; Magnoliopsida; Zingiberales; Musaceae. The record is from RNAcentral.